GCUGGGCAUGGUGGUGCAUGCCUGUAGUCCCAGCUACAUGGGAGGCUGAGGCAGGAGAAUCGCUUGAACCCUGGAGGAGGUGGAGGUUGCAGUGAGCCAAGAUUGCGCCACUGCACUCCAGCUUGGGUGACAGAGUGAGACUCUGUCUCAA
Unclassified non-coding RNA from Pongo abelii (Sumatran orangutan), 151 nucleotides. It matches the Rfam family "Metazoan signal recognition particle RNA". Rfam says of the family: The signal recognition particle (SRP) is a universally conserved ribonucleoprotein. Lineage: Eukaryota; Metazoa; Chordata; Mammalia; Primates; Hominidae. The record is from Ensembl.